GGAAGUAUCUUCAAAAUUGGAUCAUAAAUCGAUCGAACUUGCAAAAGCUUUUUCUUGGCUUCUCUUCUUCUCCCCGGAUUCAGGUUGGGUGGUGGGGAGGCAAAGAAUUUUCGGGCAAAUCACGAGCUGGAUGCUCGGGCGGGGAUCGAAAUCGAUGAGAUACUAGUAGGAAGUAGAAGGGAUUUCGAUCGGGGGAUUGGGGAAGAAGUAAACAGGAAGGAAAUGCUGCUGCUUUUUUUUUUCUGUUUCUCUUUUGGUUUGUGGAUGGUUGCGUAACGCUCCACUCCCAAAAGUGGCCGCUUUUUCGGCAACUAGGAUUUAGGGGCUUUGCCAGAAUAUUUAGGAUUUGUAACAUUUGCCCGCCACUAAUUUCGAGUGAUAUAUAUACUUUUCUUUUUCGCCCCAAAAAAGGAUUUAGGACAAAGAAGUGUGAAUUACAG
This 440-nucleotide long non-coding RNA is filed under the name Oryza brachyantha (malo sina). RNAcentral's name for it is "long non-coding RNA (OBRA_LNC002592)". The record is from RNAcentral. Lineage: Eukaryota; Viridiplantae; Streptophyta; Magnoliopsida; Poales; Poaceae.